Lontra canadensis (Northern American river otter) is the source of this 271-nucleotide long non-coding RNA. RefSeq lists it as uncharacterized. The transcript is spliced from 3 exons. The record is from RefSeq and is a predicted model, not a curated record. Lineage: Eukaryota; Metazoa; Chordata; Mammalia; Carnivora; Mustelidae.
CUCUGAGCUCCAUUUGACCUCUUUAUCACCACUUGGUGAAGGAACUGUCAGAUCCAGCUAUGGAUUGAAGAUGGAACAACGAUGGUUCAAGAGCCCACAGUCAUAUGGGUGAUGGAAAACAAAAACAUGAAAUACAUACAGAAUCUGUACAAUAAUGACUCAAAAGAGUCCAGGAGUGUUGGUUGGAGGCAUUGUGGAUGAUAGAGACCUAAGCUGAACUUGGAAGGGUCAACAGCAUUUGCGUACGGGAAUGGCUCAAAGGCCAUUCCCA